Dreissena polymorpha is the source of this 2304-nucleotide long non-coding RNA. RefSeq lists it as uncharacterized. The record is from RefSeq and is a predicted model, not a curated record. The transcript has 2 exons. Lineage: Eukaryota; Metazoa; Mollusca; Bivalvia; Myida; Dreissenidae.
GUACAAAAUGUGACAUAAUAGCUAAACUCUCAUAUAAGAUUCUGUCAUUGUGUAGCAAUAAGAUCGAAUGACAGUACAUUAGUUUCAGUUAUGUAAAGAAUUGACAAGUUUUUCUCAUUUUAAUUAAAUAUAUUAGCUACUAUUUUGGAUAUGUUGCUUAUUUUUAUGCCCCCCUUCGAAGAAGAGGGGGUAUAUUGCUUUGCACAUGUCGGUCUGUCGGUCGGUCUGUCCACCAGGGGGUUUCCGGAUGAUAACUCAAGAACGCUUAUGCCUAGGAUCAUGAAACUUCGUAGGUAGAUUGAUAAUGGCUGGCAGAUGACCCCUAUUGAUUUUGAAGUCACUAGGUCAAAGGUCAAGGUCACGGUGACCCGAAAUAGUAAAAUGGUUUCCGGAUGAUAACUCAAGAACGCUUAUGCCUAGGAUCAUGAAAUUUGAUAGGUAGAUUGAUCAUGGCUCGCAGUUGACCCCUAUUGAUUUUCAGGUCACUAUAUCAAAGGUCAAGGUCACGGUGACCUGAAAUAGUAAAAUGGUUUCCGGAUGAUAUCUCAAGAAAGCUAAUGGCUACGAUCAUGAAACUUCAUAGGUACAUUGAUCAUGACUUGUAGAUGACCCUUAUUGAUUUUGAGGUCACUAGGUCAAAGGUCAAGGUCAUGGUGACCCGAAAUAGUAAAAUGGUUUCCAGAUGAUAACUCAAGAACGCUUAUGCCUAGGAUCAUGAAACUUCAUAGGUACAUUGAUCAUGACUCGCAGAUGACCCCUAUCGAUUUUGAGGUCACUAGGUCAAAGGUCAAGUUCAAGGUGACCCGAAAUAGUAAAAUGGUUUCUGUAUGAUAACUGAAGAACGCUAAUUCCUAGGAUCAUGAAACUUGAUAGGUAGAUCGAUCAUGACUAGCAGAUGACCCCUAUUGAUUUUCAGGUGUCUAGGUCAAAGGUCAAGGUCACAGUGACAAAAAACAUAUUCACACAAUGGCUGUCACUACAACGGAGAGCCCUUAUGGGGGGCAUGCAUGUUUUACAAACAGCCCUUGUUUACAUGUUAAAAUGCAUAUAUAGUGUAAUAAACAAAAUAUAAUAACUGGUUGUGCAUAUUUUUGUGUUAUGUGAUGCUAAUGUAUUCAUCAAGAAAUGUUGAAAUGCAGUAAUGUUAUCAACGUUUAUUGACAUUCAAUUUACACUGAGUUCAACAAGUUCAUUUUUCUGGACAAUAUUUAGUGAUCAAAUUAAAUGGCUAAUUCAUAUCAUUAUUAAAUAAUGCAGAGGUUUCUACAACUGUAGUUACAUUUGUAUUAUUUCAUUAAAUAAAAAAUGUUCAUUGGACAAUUUAUGCAGACCAUGUUCUUUAUUUGGUGACAAACAGAAUAGGUUGUAAGAAAGUGGUGAAACAAAAUCGAUGUACCACAUAUUAUUUUUAUUUGUGUUUUAUUUUGAAAUUGAAGCGUAUAACUGGUACAUUUAUAGUGACCAAUCAUGUUAAUGAAUUGAAUCCUUUAUCAUAUUUAGUAAUACAACAUAUUUCGUCAUUCAGUUAUAGAAAAACUGUCAUUUUCAUCAAAACGUUGUACAUUUUAGGUUGGAUUACAUCUGCACCUGCACUGUGAAUAUGUUUCGUACUUGAUAUAAUUUAUAUUUCACAUGUUACUAGGUAACACAUCUAUUUGGAAAUGGUAGAAUACCAGGUAACUAAGCUGUUGUUUCAAGUGUCAGGAGUAAGGUAUAUGUUCGAAAUGGUCGUGGUUUGAUACUUCUGACAACUGUUAACAUUCUCUUUAUUAUAUUGUAUCAAAUAAAGUCAAGAAAUAUAGCGAUUACAGAUAAACAUAAAACACGAUUAUAAUUGAUAUAUGAGAAUGUUGGUUUGCCAUACAAGUUGAUUUUGUCUCAGAAUGUAACAUCGUUAUAGAAGGAAUAUAUGUAUACAUUGUAAAUGAUUUAAGUUAUAUAAGAUAUUAUAUAUAGUUUUCAAGAUAUACAUUACAUGAAUAUAUAGUAUUAAAUAUAACAUGUUUUAAUUAAUUAUAAAAACAUUCAACAUGAAAGGCAGUAUAUAUCAAUAAAAAACUAUAUUUAAAAUCCGAAUUCAGUUAAAUGUGCAAAUUUUUCAUAUUUAGAUUUUUUUAUGACCAUUUUGGAUUCAUAAAAUAUUUAGCAUAUUCAUCUUCAAGCUUUUAACCAUUUCAGAAAAGUCUUAUUAUACCACUGAGAAUUGUUCUUUGAGAGACGGAAAUUGUGUGUACAUAUGUCAUCAUUGAUCACACAGAAUAUUGGAUGUAGAAAUAUUAUGUGAUAAUAAAUACUUUAACAUUA